AGAGUUUGAUCCUGGCUCAGAUUGAACGCUGGCGGCAGGCUUAACACAUGCAAGUCGAACGAUGAUUAUCUAGCUUGCUAGAUAUGAUUAGUGGCGGACGGGUGAGUAACAUUUAGGAAUCUGCCUAGUAGUGGGGGAUAGCUCGGGGAAACUCGAAUUAAUACCGCAUACGACCUACGGGUGAAAGGGGGCGCAAGCUCUUGCUAUUAGAUGAGCCUAAAUCAGAUUAGCUAGUUGGUGGGGUAAAGGCCCACCAAGGCGACGAUCUGUAACUGGUCUGAGAGGAUGAUCAGUCACACCGGAACUGAGACACGGUCCGGACUCCUACGGGAGGCAGCAGUGGGGAAUAUUGGACAAUGGGGGCAACCCUGAUCCAGCCAUGCCGCGUGUGUGAAGAAGGCCUUUUGGUUGUAAAGCACUUUAAGCAGGGAGGAGAGGCUAAUGGUUAAUACCCAUUAGAUUAGACGUUACCUGCAGAAUAAGCACCGGCUAACUCUGUGCCAGCAGCCGCGGUAAUACAGAGGGUGCGAGCGUUAAUCGGAAUUACUGGGCGUAAAGCGAGUGUAGGUGGCUCAUUAAGUCACAUGUGAAAUCCCCGGGCUUAACCUGGGAACUGCAUGUGAUACUGGUGGUGCUAGAAUAUGUGAGAGGGAAGUAGAAUUCCCAGGUGUAGCGGUGAAAUGCGUAGAGAUCUGGAGGAAUACCGAUGGCGAAGGCAGCUUCCUGGCAUAAUAUUGACACUGAGAUUUCGAAAGCGUGGGUAGCAAACAGGAUUUAGAUACCCUGGUUAGUCCACGCCGUAAACGAUGUCUACUAGCCGGUUGGGGUCCUUGAGACUUUAGUGGCGCAGUUAACGGCGAUUAAGUAGACCCGCCUGGGGAGUACGGGCCGCCAGGGUUAAAACUCAAAUGAAUUGACGG
This 920-nucleotide ribosomal RNA is filed under the name uncultured bacterium. RNAcentral describes it as "bacterial SSU rRNA". It matches the Rfam family "Bacterial small subunit ribosomal RNA", at positions 8 to 916 of the family's 1533-position model. The record is from RNAcentral.